This 1370-nucleotide long non-coding RNA is filed under the name Mustela putorius furo (domestic ferret). Its description in RNAcentral is "lncRNA (ENSMPUG00000027864.1)". Lineage: Eukaryota; Metazoa; Chordata; Mammalia; Carnivora; Mustelidae. The record is from RNAcentral.
UUCUUAGUCUGGUGACACAUCUUCUUGUUUGAUUCUGGGGAUGGAAACAGUCGAUAGAUUGAUGAAGGCCAAAUGACCUUGCAGAAGUGGAAUUGCUGUGUCGUGGGAUCCCGGUGUGUGAAACUUUACCAGGAGCUGUCAGAAUCUCCAAAGUGCUGUGCCAUUUUCCGCCUCCGUCAGUGGUUUCUUCCUGGGUGUUCCGUAUCCUUGCCAGUGUCGAGCCAGUCGUGAGACAGAAAGGGAGGAACACUGGGACACGGCAGACGAGGGAGGGGUGUGGAUGGGAGGUCCCUGAAGAGCUUGGGGGGGCGGCAGAGGGGAGUGGGAGGCCCCUGGGGUGCAGGCGGGGUCGUGCACGAGGGGGGACUGAAUGUGGGAGAUCGCGCGGGACACCUGGGCUGCCUGGGAGUGCUCGCGGGCGGGCAGAGAAGGUCACCCCUUGCUGUUCCAAAGGCAGCUGCCAACACCAUGCCUCCCAUGUGCUCCCUACGGACCUGGACCCCGUCUGGGCAGGCUUCUCGCGAUCAGGGUUGCCCCCAUUCUGCAGAUGAGGAAACCAAGUCUCGGGCCCUAACAGUGCGGAGUGGGGAGCCGGCCCUGCAGCCAGGCCCGCUGGUUUAAGGCUGUGAUGACCUUGCUGGGUUAGGCUGCGUCGACAGGAACAGGCUGCAUCGACAGGCACGUGAGCCCGCCGGCGUGUGGGAGAAAGGCGCACGCGGGAGCGCAGCCCAGACAACAAAAGCGGAGCGAAGGGAAAUCAGUCUCUGUCCUCUCUGGCUCUCCAGCGACCUCCUCCGAAACAACAGGAGGUAACACUUCCCCGGGUAUCCUUGCGGGGAUGUUGGACUCCUGCAGACGCCGCACGUAUUUACGGGUAAUGACCUUCUUUUCACUUUCUAUGCAAAGAGCCGAGUCUCGCACGUGGUUUCCGUGUUUCGCUUUCCUCCUGUAGCUGGUGUUGGGGAGACAGUGCCACGUCUGAGCAGAGAGGACGGACCCACCGCUGGACGGCUCGCAGCUGCAUGGGGGUGAGCUGCCCAUCCGGACUCCGGGAUCUCCUCAGCACUUCGGCGGGUGCGGGACAAGGUCUGUGGGAUGGAGUCCUAGAAAGGGAGUUGCCGGACCACAAGGUGGGUCCAUGUUGAAUCUGCACGCACACUGCCAGCGGCUCUUGAGAAGUCGCGGCCUCUGAGGGUGCCAGGCAGAGCGGGAUGUUGUCAAAGUCGGUGACCAGACCUGACGGAUGCCUCGUUUGCUUCGUUCAGACCACGAGUGAGGCUGGACAACUUUUCAUACACUUUCAACACCAACGGUCACAUUCUUCCCUGUGACCUCGCUGGUACGGUCCUUCGAAGGGCGCAGCUGUGGCU